RNAcentral lists this ribosomal RNA (303 nucleotides) under uncultured bacterium. RNAcentral describes it as "partial 16S ribosomal RNA". It matches the Rfam family "Bacterial small subunit ribosomal RNA", at positions 507 to 807 of the family's 1533-position model. The record is from RNAcentral.
AGCAGUAGCCGCGGGAAAACGGAGGGUGCAAGCGUUACUCGGAAUCACUGGGCGUAAAGGACGCGUAGGCGGAUUAUCAAGUCUCUUGUGAAAUCUAACGGCUUAACCGUUAAACUGCUUGGGAAACUGAUAAUCUAGAGUAAGGGAGAGGCAGAUGGAAUUCUUGGUGUAGGGGUAAAAUCCGUAGAUAUCAAGAAGAAUACCUAUUGCGAAGGCGAUCUGCUGGAACUUAACUGACGCUAAUGCGUGAAAGCGUGGGGAGCAAACAGGAUUAGAUACCCGCGUAGUCCCUGUCUCUUAUAC